GGCGAACGGGUGAGUAACACGUGGGUAAUCUACCUAUGAGACGGGGAUAGCCCCGGGAAACUGGGGUUAAUACCGGAUGUGAUCCUUGGGGCGCAUGUUCCGAGGAGGAAAGGGUGCAAACCGCUCAUAGAUGAGCCCGCGGCCCAUUAGCUAGUUGGCAGGGUAAGAGCCUACCAAGGCGACGAUGGGUAGCCGGUCUGAGAGGAUGGCCGGCCACACUGGGACUGAGACACGGCCCANACUCCUACGGGAGGCAGCAGCAAGGAAUUUUGGGCAAUGGGGGAAACCCUGACCCAGCGACGCCGCGUGAGCGAAGAAGGCCUUCGGGUCGUAAAGCUCUGUCUUUGGGGACGAAUGGGACGGUACCCAAAGAGGAAGCCCCGGCUAACUACGUGCCAGCAGCCGCGGUAAUACGUAGGGGGCGAGCGUUGUCCGGAAUUAUUGGGCGUAAAGGGCGAGUAGGCGGCUUUGCAGGUCGGGUGUGAAAAACUGAGGCUCAACCUCGGGAAUGCAUCC
This 516-nucleotide ribosomal RNA is filed under the name uncultured Bacillota bacterium. Its description in RNAcentral is "bacterial SSU rRNA". It matches the Rfam family "Bacterial small subunit ribosomal RNA", at positions 97 to 628 of the family's 1533-position model. Lineage: Bacteria; Bacillati; Bacillota. The record is from RNAcentral.